CGGUGUUUAACUGGCGUGAUGUGGGACGUCCUACCGGUGGGCUUAGCCUCGCGAGGGGCGGCCCAACUAAUAUCCCGUCGCGGUGCUCUUUACUGAGUGUCGAGUCGGGCCGGUACGUUUACUUUGAACAAAUUAGAGUGCUUAAAGCAGGCUAUCCUCGCCUGAAUACUGCGUGCAUGGAAUAAUGGAAUAGGACCUCGGUUCUAUUUUGUUGGUUUUCGGAACCCCGAGGUAAUGAUUAAUAGGGACAGAUGGGGGCAUUCGUAUUGCGACGUUAGAGGUGAAAUUCUUGGAUCGUCGCAAGACGGACAGAAGCGAAAGCAUUUGCCAAAAAUGUUUUCAUUAAUCAAGAACGAAAGUUAGAGGUUCGAAGGCGAUCAGAUACCGCCCUAGUUCUAACCAUAAACGAUGCCAGCUAGCGAUCCGCCGAAGUUCCUCCGAUGACUCGGCGGGCAGCUUCCGGGAAACCAAAGCUUUUGGGUUCCGGGGGAAGUAUGGUUGCAAAGCUGAAACUUAAAGGAAUUGACGGAAGGGCACCACCAGGAGUGGCGCCUGCGGCUUAAUUUGACUCAACACGGGAAACCUCACCAGGCCCAGACACCGGAAGGAUUGACAGAUUGAUAGCUCUUUCUUGAUUCGGUGGGUGGUGGUGCAUGGGCCGUUCUUAGUUGGUGGAGCGAUUUGUCUGGUUAAUUCCGAUAACGAACGAGACUCUAGCCUGCUAAAUAGGCGUACCUUAUGGUAUCGCGAAGGCCCCCGGCUUCGGCCGGUGGGUUUUUACUACCAACGUACAAACAAAUCUUCUUAGAGGGACAGGCGG
Molecule: ribosomal RNA, 820 nt
Filed under: uncultured eukaryote
Lineage: Eukaryota
Description: SSU rRNA
Rfam family: Eukaryotic small subunit ribosomal RNA
Source: RNAcentral